AACGAACGCUGGCGGCAUGCCUAACACAUGCAAGUCGAACGAGACCUUCGGGUCUAGUGGCGCACGGGUGCGUAACGCGUUGGAACCUGCCCUUAGGUUCGGAAUAACUCCCCGAAAGGGGUGCUAAUAACGGAUAAUGUCUUCGGACCAAAGAUUUAUCGCCUUUGGAUGGGCCCGCAUUGGAUUAGCUAGUUGGUAGGGUAAAAGCCUACCAAGGCGACGAUCCAUAGCUGGUCUGAGAGGAUGAUCAGCCACACUGGGACUGAGACACGGACCAGACUCCUACGGGAAGCAGCAGUGGGGAAUAUUGGACAAUGGGCGAAAGCCUGAUCCAGCAAUGCCGCGUGAGUGAUGAAGGCCUUAGGGUUGUAAAGCUCUUUUACCCGAGACGAUAAUGACAGUACCGGGAGAAUAAGCUCCGGCUAACUCCGUG
RNAcentral lists this ribosomal RNA (433 nucleotides) under uncultured bacterium. RNAcentral describes it as "partial 16S ribosomal RNA". It matches the Rfam family "Bacterial small subunit ribosomal RNA", at positions 29 to 507 of the family's 1533-position model. The record is from RNAcentral.